GUCCGGACCGAUUCUAUGAUCGUCGUACUGUGGGGUGCUACGUGAUUACUGGAUGAGUGGUGCAUGGCCGUUCUUAGUUCGUGGUGUUAAUUGUCUACUUAAUUGUCAUCAGUUUAAUACGUGUAUUGAACUAUGAACGAACGAGAUCGAGACCCGUGGUUGCGUGUGUUUGAAUUCGGUAUUACUACGGGGAUCGCGUAUUACUCCACGGUACGAUCGAAAGACUCGGCAAUAACAGGUCUGUGAUGCCCUCAGAUGUUCUGGGCUGCACACGUGCUACAGUGUGGUUCUGUUCAUAUGUGUAUGCGUAGACUUGAGAUCCCCCGCACCGAGUCAUAACUGGUCACACGGUGGACUCACCGAUUGCCAAGUAUUCUGUAUCUUAACUAGGAAU
RNAcentral lists this ribosomal RNA (394 nucleotides) under Amphistegina lobifera. RNAcentral's name for it is "SSU rRNA". It matches the Rfam family "Eukaryotic small subunit ribosomal RNA", at positions 1222 to 1611 of the family's 1831-position model. The record is from RNAcentral. Lineage: Eukaryota; Foraminifera; Rotaliida; Amphisteginidae.